GAUGAACGCUGGCGGCGUGCCUAAUACAUGCAAGUCGAGCGAACAGACGAGGAGCUUGCUCCUCUGACGUUAGCGGCGGACGGGUGAGUAACACGUGGAUAACCUACCUAUAAGACUGGGAUAACUUCGGGAAACCGGAGCUAAUACCGGAUAAUAUAUUGAACCGCAUGGUUCAAUAGUGAAAGCCGGUUUUGCUGUCACUUAUAGACGGAUCCGCGCCGCAUUAGCUAGUUGGUAAGGUAACGGCUUACCAAGGCAACGAUGCGUAGCCGACCUGAGAGGGUGAUCGGCCACACUGGAACUGAGACACGGUCCAGACUCCUACGGGAGGCAGCAGUAGGGAAUCUGCCGCAAUGGGCGAAAGCCUGACGGAGCAACGCCGCGUGAGUGAUGAAGGUCUUCGGAUCGUAAAACUCUGUUAUUAGGGAAGAACAAAUGUGUAAGUAACUAUGCACGUCUUGACGGUACCUAAUCAGAAAGCCACGGCUAACUACGUG
RNAcentral lists this ribosomal RNA (497 nucleotides) under uncultured bacterium. RNAcentral describes it as "partial 16S ribosomal RNA". It matches the Rfam family "Bacterial small subunit ribosomal RNA", at positions 28 to 507 of the family's 1533-position model. The record is from RNAcentral.